Molecule: ribosomal RNA, 498 nt
Filed under: uncultured bacterium
Lineage: Bacteria
Description: partial 16S ribosomal RNA
Rfam family: Bacterial small subunit ribosomal RNA
Source: RNAcentral
GAUGAACGCUGGCGGCGUGCCUAAUACAUGCAAGUCGAGCGAACAGACGAGAGUGCUUGCACUCUCUGACGUUAGCGGCGGACGGGUGAGUAACACGUGGGUAACCUACCUAUAAGACUGGGAUAACUUCGGGAAACCGGAGCUAAUACCGGAUAAUAUUUAGCUUCGCAUGAAGCAAUAGUGAAAGACGGUUCUGCUGUCACUUAUAGAUGGACCCGCGGUGUAUUAGCUAGUUGGUGAGGUAACGGCUCACCAAGGCAACGAUACAUAGCCGACCUGAGGGGGUGAUCGGCCACACAGGUACUGAGACACGGCCCAGACUCCUACGGGAGGCAGCAGUAGGGAAUCUUCCGCAAUGGACGAAAGUCUGACGGAGCAAUGCCGCGUGAGUGAAGAAGGUUUUCGGAUCGUAAAACUCUGUUGUAAGGGAAGAACAAGUACGUUAGUAACUGAACGUACCUUGACGGUACCUUACCAGAAAGCCACGGCUAACUACGU